Cydia splendana is the source of this 1653-nucleotide long non-coding RNA. RefSeq lists it as uncharacterized. The record is from RefSeq and is a predicted model, not a curated record. NCBI's taxonomy places the organism in Eukaryota, Metazoa, Arthropoda, Insecta, Lepidoptera, Tortricidae. The transcript has 2 exons.
UGCAUACUUCUUUAGACCGAACUAGGUAGUUAUAGUAGGUACUCUAGGAAUCCUCUACCUGCCCACGUAUAAAAAAAUUCCAAGACAAAUGUCAUUUUGAUUUGUCAAAAUGAAGAUAAAAAUUAAAAAGGAAUGAGACCUUUUUAUAGGCCUCUGGGCGGCUAGAGGAUCACAUUAAUUUCUGAAUUUCUAGAAACGUCUAACAUUCUUCUUCACUUGAUAUGAUAACUGAAAUCUUUUCUAUUUCUGUAUUUAACAAUCUAACGACGAUAUAUCUUAUAUAUUCGUGCGGCGGUAUGACCAACUCCCGCCCACAAUUGAUUCAGCCCAUUGUGUCCACAAUGCCCAAGUUAGAAAUUCAAUACGAAUUUCCGCCACAUUGUAGUGGCUCCAUUAUCACGAAAAGGAUUUAUAAAAUUUACCUUUCCCAAUUAUAAAGGAUUAUUCACAGAGUUGUUCGCAUAGAUAGCUUUUCAUAUGGAUCUAAUUAUUCGUUGUAUAAUUCGCGGCCCAGCUACUGAUAGCGUUAAAAUUUCUUGACUUUGAUUUACAAUGUAAAAAUUGGGUAUAAUAUACAUUUGCAUAAAUCUCUUGAUAUCUUGUGUUGUGCCUUGAACAAGCAAGAAUAAUGAUGCUAAUAUCGACCUAGAUUCUGACAUCUAAGGUAUGUCAGUAGCCAUUAUUCUUAGCGUCUUAUAUUCAGUGAGCGACUUGUGCAAAUUUAUUGUGACUGCGAGAUAAUUACUUAUUGUUUACAAAUUAUAUAGCAUCAUCUAUUAUAUACUAUACUAAUAUGCACAAUGUUAUAAAUCAAUAUUUUAUGGUUAUACAUAAUAUAGAUCUAAUUAUGCAUUUCAUGCUAAUGAACUUAGGGUAACAAACUAGCUUAAGGCUCUAUAUGUAUACUCCCCUUAGUUGAGUCCUACAUAUAGAGGUUAAUUCUCAACAAUGUGACUCAAUGCUUGCACCUAUGUUGACUGUUUAUCAGUUUUGUGCUGGUUUGCUAACUUGUGUUUCUGAUCUCAUAAUGAGUAUUAUUUAUUUAGAGGCCAUAUUGCGUUGUAAUUAAUAGUUUUUUUUUUUAUUUAUUUAUUGCGAUUAAUGUACAUAUUUGCAAGAAACAAGUAAACCAAAGAUUUUGAAUCAUCCCUUUGGAUAUUUUUAUUUUUGACAAAUUUAAUUACUUUUUAUAAUUUAAUAUUAACAUUUUGUAUAUAAAAUUAUCAUUAGAAUGAUAAUCUUUAUGACGUAAAGUUCUCUUUACAUUAUAGGAGAUAUUUAAAGCACUAGGGCUAAUGCAACAUUUGGCAUUCAACAAAAUAUAGUUAGCUUCAGCUUGUAAUAUUGACUACAAUUGUUUCUGUAUGCAUCAGUUUCAUGCUUUGCAUUUAUCGGAUAUAUUAAAGUACUACAUUGUAAUGUUCAGUGCUGUUAGUGAUGACAAUAUUUCGUAACAGACUUGUUUCUUUAUAGGUUUAAGAUUCUAAGUAUAGAACUAUUUGACCCAUAGGUUUUGCGUGACUACCGCACUGUACUGCCCAAAUAGACUGAAGUGUCCAAAUAUUUCCUUUUUUAUAUUUGAUAAAUUGUUUUGUUACUUUAUGUAUGGUAUUUUACCCCAUGAUUUGAAUGCCAAAUAAAUAAUAAUUGAUA